GAUGAACGCUGGCGGCGUGCCUAAUACAUGCAAGUCGAGCGAACAGACGAGGAGCUUGCUCCUCUGACGUUAGCGGCGGACGGGUGAGUAACACGUGGAUAACCUACCUAUAAGACUGGGAUAACUUCGGGAAACCGGAGCUAAUACCGGAUAAUAUAUUGAACCGCAUGGUUCAAUAGUGAAAGACGGUUUUGCUGUCACUUAUAGAUGGAUCCGCGCCGCAUUAGCUAGUUGGUAAGGUAACGGCUUACCAAGGCGACGAUGCGUAGCCGACCUGAGAGGGGGAGCGGCCACACGGGAACUGAGACACGGUCCAGAGUCCUACGGGAGGCAGCAGUAGGGAAUCUUACGCAAUGGGCGAAAGCCUGACGGAGCAACGCCGCGUGAGUGAUGAAGGUCUUCGGAUCGUAAAACUCUGUUGUUAGGGAAGAACAAAUGUGUAAGUAACUAUGCACGUCUUGACGGUACCUAAUCAGAAAGCCACGGCUAACUACGUG
RNAcentral lists this ribosomal RNA (497 nucleotides) under uncultured bacterium. Its description in RNAcentral is "partial 16S ribosomal RNA". It matches the Rfam family "Bacterial small subunit ribosomal RNA", at positions 28 to 507 of the family's 1533-position model. The record is from RNAcentral.